GGUUGGAGCUAGGGUUAGGGUUAGGGUUAGGGUUGGAGCUAGGGUUACGGUUAGGGUUAGAGUUAGGGUUGGAGCUAGGGUUAGGGUUGGAGCUAGGGUUAGGGUUAGGGUUGGAGCUAGGGUUAGAGCUAGGGUUAGGGUUAGGGUUGGAGCUAGGGUUAGGGUUAGGGUUAGGGUUGGAGCUAGGGUUAGGGUUAGGGUUGGAGCUAGGGUUAGGGUUAGGGUUGGAGCUAGGGUUAGGGUUAGGGUUGGAGCUAGGUUAGGGUUAGGG
Non-coding RNA from Xyrichtys novacula (pearly razorfish), 271 nucleotides. The record is from the annotation of a GenBank genome assembly. Lineage: Eukaryota; Metazoa; Chordata; Actinopteri; Labriformes; Labridae.